This is a long non-coding RNA of Nothoprocta perdicaria, 617 nucleotides long. RefSeq lists it as uncharacterized. The transcript is spliced from 3 exons. NCBI's taxonomy places the organism in Eukaryota, Metazoa, Chordata, Aves, Tinamiformes, Tinamidae. The record is from RefSeq and is a predicted model, not a curated record.
UUUCUGGUGUUGUUGCUCUCCAAUUUUGCUGCUGUGGCCCAGUGGGCUCUGUUGCUCCCAGGUCUGUGGAGGCUCCUGUUGAUCUGGACUCUUGGCUGAGCGUGACUGCCCAGUGUGGUGUGUUUGCCUUGCCUGGGUGCCCUGCUGGCCCUGGGAUCUCYCCUAGUCUGCAGGGAGCUGUACCCUGAUGUUAGGAUGGAAAAACAGCUAUAGUGCUACCUGCUAAAUAGUCUCAAGGAGCGAGCUGCUGCUGGAUGGGAAAGGAAGAACCUGCAGGAAAGGUGACUCCAGGUGGUGAAAGGAAAAAGAGCAGCUCUCCUGGCAACGUGGGACAAGAAGCCCCUGCGGAGCAGCUUGGCUGUGUGUCCUGCGGCAUGUUUUGCAGCGUUGUUCACCUCAAGGAGAURCUAGGAGAGGAGAACUGAAGAAUACUGCUGCUCUGCCGUUUGUGCUGUGGGGAAAUUUUCAUCAAAGAGUGAGUUGCAGAUACUGAUCCCCCAAAACAGCAUCACUAUGAGCAGUGCUAUUAGCACACCUCUGAAGAAGGUGAACCACGUUGAGUUGCAAGAGCUAGCAUCUGUGGUGGUGGAAAAAGAAGCUUUCUACCUGUCAUCAAU